AACACAGGGGGCGACCAACUCACCCACAAACCCUAGUCUUGCAAUUUCCACCAAAUUGAGGGCUCCAAUCUAGUCUAAAUCGAUUUCCAAGCACAAAUUCGUGAUCACCUCGUUGAAGGGAUCAUAAGGCAAGGAAUCUGGAUCGUCGAGUGGACAAGCUGGAGGAGAUACGCGUUUGAAGGGUGUGCUUUAAAGGUGAGGUGGAUCUUAACCCUCAUGGCGAUCAAGCAUAUUUUCAAGAACCGAACACUGCACGUUGAAGCUUCCGCGCUUACCUAGUCUU
Helianthus annuus (common sunflower) is the source of this 283-nucleotide long non-coding RNA. RefSeq lists it as uncharacterized. The transcript has 3 exons. The record is from RefSeq and is a predicted model, not a curated record. Lineage: Eukaryota; Viridiplantae; Streptophyta; Magnoliopsida; Asterales; Asteraceae.